This 467-nucleotide ribosomal RNA is filed under the name uncultured bacterium. RNAcentral describes it as "partial 16S ribosomal RNA". It matches the Rfam family "Bacterial small subunit ribosomal RNA", at positions 28 to 507 of the family's 1533-position model. The record is from RNAcentral.
GACGAACGCUGGCGGCGUGCUUAACACAUGCAAGUCGAACGGAAAGGCCCUGCUUUUGUGGGUACCGGUGCGGAGAACGGGGGAAUAACCCCUUAGGUACCUGCCCAUUACCUUGGGGGAAUGUUAAGAAACGGGGGGGUAUUCCGGCCAAGGACUUCUGGCGCAUGGUUGGGGGUGGGAAGGUUUGGCGGUUGGGGAUGGACUAGGCGCUUAUCGGCUUGUUUGUGGGGUAGUGGCAUAACAAGGCUUUGACGGGGAGCCGGCCUGAGAGGGGGACCGGCCACAUUGGGACUGAGAUACGGCCCAGACCCCUACGGGAGGCAGCAGUGGGGAAUAUUGCACAAUGGGCGGAAGCCUGAUGCAGCAACGCCGCGUGCGGGAUGACGGCCUUCGGGUUGGAAACCGCUUUCGCCUGUGACGAAGCGUGAGUGACGGUAAUGGGUAAAGAAGCACCGGCUAACUACGUG